This 780-nucleotide long non-coding RNA is filed under the name Olea europaea (common olive). RNAcentral's name for it is "long non-coding RNA (OEUR_LNC005290)". The record is from RNAcentral. Lineage: Eukaryota; Viridiplantae; Streptophyta; Magnoliopsida; Lamiales; Oleaceae.
UUCACUUGGCUUUCUCUCUGCUCUCUGGCAAUUUUCUUUCCCUCACAGAAAUUUUGAUCUCUCUUCUUCAGAUCUGUUGUGCUUUCCUUUAUUGGCUAUAAAUUCAGAUCUUGUUCUUUGAUAUGUGGCCUGUGGUCUGUGGUGAUUUCAAAUUGUACUUGACUUGUAUCUAAUGUUCCUUUUAGGUAGUUUUUGGGCAUCUUUCAGUCAGUAUUCAAAUGGUAUAAGAACAUUGCUAUACUUUUUGGUUGUAUCUUGGUUGAUUAGGUUUCAUAUGGCAACAUCUUUUAUAGAUAGAUGAUCUAUUGGUUGAGAAGGAGAUCUGAUUGUUGUACUCUAAACUUAAACUCUCUCUUGGGAGGUUCUUGCACAUAGUGACGGACUCUUACCUCUGAGCCCUCUAGAGUAGGCUUUUGCCGAACUGGGUGACUGUUUCUUGCGUUGCUCACUACUAUUUUUGGUUGUUUGUGUUUCGAUUUUCUACAUACUAUUUUCAGUUGGGUGACAAAAUUCCAACAUCUCUAUUGGGCAGCAAUUUUAGGGUUUUGAAUUAGAUGCAUCAUCUUUAUAUUUGUUUAGCACAAUGGGAUAAUAUGCAAUUAAUUCCUUUUCGUGGGCAUGUUGACAUUAUCUGUUCAACAAUUUUUGUGACUUUCCCAUAUAUUGUGUGUGCGAUUAGCAAGUAAACUAUGUCACGUUCAUAACACUUUAGCAUGUUCUCUUACAACUAACUCAUUAAUAAAAACUUUUUGCUGACUUACAUUCUCUAAGAGAUCCCUU